CCUGUCUAAGUUUAAUCUCUGAAUUUCUUCCAGAAUUCACUUUUAUAUCUUUGCCCAUCCUUAUGUCACUCUUUAAGUCCUCCAUCUGUCUCUAACCCCCUCCCACCUUUUUCAGUCUCAGACUACGGUAAUCUCUACCUUCUACUCCAGAGACAUCUGCACCUCCUCCUGAAGAUACUUCUAUGAAUACCAUCACUACUUCAUGCCAGCCCAAAGAAGACCUACCUUCGGAAAGUACCUAUACCUCUAAUGGUACUAUAGUCCGAAAAAAGGAUUUACAAAUGUUCCAGGAGGCAUUGCUAGCCAUGAACUCCACUCCUGCUAAAUUACAGAAGUACUUACCACCUGCACCAGACCUUGACCUCUCUCCAGCAGUACCAGAAGGUCAUUUAAUGUCCUGGGCCUGCUAUACUGCCUCUGAGCCAGAGCAGAGUCUAUUAUUUUGAGUAGUUCUAUCCCUGUUAUACCUGGCAUCCUCUGACUUCGGCUUCACCUCGACCAUCCUUCUGCUUGUGUCCUUGCCUGAACUGCGUAUUGGUGCACCUUUCCUGCACAGAUUCACAGUCCAGGUGGCUUCUUACCUGGUCACCUUGAACUGUGUUUAUCUGCAAGGGUUGAGUGCACAGCUCUGUACGUUGGACUCCCACCUCAGGUAAGAUUCCUGACACCUUCCUACAAAGCCACUUACAGAAAUAGAAAUGUAAAUUAUCGAUAAACAUAAGCUUAUAUUUAUUGAUACAUACAAUACAUACACACAGACUGCUCAACACACACACACACACACAAACUGCUGAAUACACACACCCACACUGCAGUGAGGGGUGCAGGAUGUGUGUGUGGGGUGCAGUGUGUGUGUGAGGGUUGUGUCAUUGGCCACUUCCUCAGACCCUCUGUCCAUGUCACUGUCCUCUUCCCCAGGUCCUUUGUGUGUCUUUUUCUGUUCCCCCCUCUCCCCACUUGCGUGCCUUCUCACUUGCCUUCAUGUAGUGUGGCAGUAUGGACCAUGAUAGAGGAUCCUUUACCACAGUCCAUGCUGUCACUCUACAUGGAGUUACUGGCAGAAGGGGAGUGCUGUGCUGUGUUCCCUCCUGGGCUGGUGUUCUUUAAGUUAGUCAUGGUUGCACCGGCCCUGAAAGCAGUAUUGUAUUUUCUUUCAAUCAGAGACAUAGUAAUUAGGUUCUGGGUAAGGAUCGACCGACAUUGAUUUUUUUUUUUUAGAGCCAAUACUGAUAAUCUGUGAACUUUUCAGGCCGAUAGCUUACUGAUAUUCUGUACAUUUACCGUAUUUUAUUUAGUGGUAAAUGCACAAAAUAUACAUGCCAGUCAGAUUUUUUUUUUUAUGUUUUCAAGAAUAUUUAUGCGUGUGUAGUGGAUGCAGUGAGAGCAUUUUAAUAGUAAAUGCAAUGUGUGUGUGUGUUUGUGUAGUGGAUGCAGUGGAUGUAGUGGAUGCAGUGUGUUUGUGUGUAAAUAUGUGCUCCCCACCCGUUACCUGUCUCUUAGUGCCCCCCACCCCCACCCCAGUGUUCCUUUUUACUUCCCUCUCCUGUACCUUAGUGUCCUCCUUUAAUGUUCCUUUCUCCCCCCUAAUGUUCUUCACAUCCCCCUUUUCGGUCCCAUAGUGUUCCUUAACACCCCCCUUGCCUCCCCCCAUCCGUGCCCCUCUCUCUUCUCCUUGGCCCCCGCUGUGUCUCCUGGUAGCGUGGCCGAGCGGAGUAGUGCGCACCGCAGUACAGGAGAUUCAGUCUCCUGUACCCGGCCGGACUGACAGGAAGUGCUCUCUCAGUGAGCACUUCCUUUCAAUCCGGCCGGGAUCAGGAAACAUAAGUCCCUGUACCCCGGUGUGCACUGCUCCGCUCGGCCAUGCUACACAGAGCGGGAACACAAAACAGACAAUAGAAUAAGGGUGCGCCUGAAAUAUAUCAUAAAACGUAUAAAAUAUAUUAAAAUAUUAAAAUAUUAAUAUUUAUAAAUUAUUAAAAUAAAAUAAAUAAUUAUCAAUAGUCCAAAAAAACUUAUCAAAAUCCGUAAUGUUAGGUCCCACGUGUGAAAAAGGGAUUCUUGGGAUGUAAAAUGGAAUCAAGUCUUCACGGCUAAAUGCUUGAAAUUCAGUGGAGCAUAUGUAGAGAGAGGAAAGAUAAAAACAGAACUCCAAUGGCACAGUAUAUAGAUGAAUAAAAUUGUUUAAAAUAAUAAAAAUGGUCUUACUCACACUUUUCAGAGCUAAAAUCCAGCUCUGAUAUUGCGCACGUGAAGUGGAAUAAUCCCCACUCAAGGAUAUGUGGAAUAGAAUUGGCGAAUAUCUGGCACAAGUUCGGCGUCCAAAUUGGUAUUCGUAGACCCAGAAGAAGAGGAUAAAAUAUAGUGCUCUCUGUAUUAUAAUUAAAAGUUUAAAAGAGUAUAAAAUAUACUACUCACAUUAUUUAGAGCAGGCUUGUACUGCUCGGUGUAAGCACUUGGGUGGUAUAAUCCCCACCUGUGGAUUCUUUGAGCUUCUUGUAGAAUAUGCAAUAUAUGUAUGGUCAGGUGAAAAGAAAGAAAAUGGCAAUAAAGUAUUUUAUGCCAAAAUAAUUUCUUUAUUAUAAAGUAGUAAAAACAAUAUCUAAACGCGUUUCGCCUCAAGGGCUUCUUCAAGUGGAUAAUAAUCACUUAUCACGAGGGGAUUAGAGGGGAUUCCCCUUUGAGGAGUGCAGCCUUCCUAUUAUCUUCUUUUGUGGCAAUUUAGCGCUGAUUUUCUCUUCCUAUUUUCUCCAUGCUACACAGAGUGCCUGGCAGGAGGGAGCGCUAGUUCUGGGUGCUUAUUACUUGAGCUAUUUACCAAAAUAAAUAUUCAUGGACAUCCAUCAAUAAGAAAGAUUGAAAAAAAUUGUACCAUUAACUGGUCUAACCAAUCGUGGAGUGAAGAAAAUAUAUAUAAUCUUCAAGUUCAAUAGAAAUUAGGCACAAAAUUGAUUGAACAGAGCUCCACUGAGAUGUUAGUUCAGAUUUUUUAUAUAUGCUUUAAUUUUUCUUUAAUAUAUUUAUGAUUUAUAACAUUUAAUUGCCAUUUUGUAACAAAAUUGAUGUGACCAAUACCUUUUGUAAUAUUAUAUAUUACGUAGUUCAGCAUAUAAAAGUAAACUGAAUGAAAUUUGUGUAAAAUCCAUAUUGUUUCUUCCAAUAUUACAGUCACUUCGGAUCUAAGAAAUACUGGCAUAUGAAAACCGUAGACAUAUCAUAAUAAAAAAAGUAUUUAUAUUCAAAAAGCAUUCUUGAUAUUUUGUACCACAGUGAUCUGUGACAUUUGGCAUAGAGAUCAAUGGGUAUAGACUAGUGAUUCUCAAACCAAUCUUUAGGAACUAGCUGCAGAUCAGAUUUUACCAUUGUUUCCAAUCAAAUCUUGUUGGAUAAUUCCUAUACUCUAGUCUAUUGCUGUAAACAUUAAUAUAGACUACAUAUCUGGCAAAUUUACCCUCCCUCUAUUUGAUAAAUAAUAUACCUUGUCCAUUUACGUGAAAUCAAACAUAUGAAACAUACAUAUAUCAAAUGAGCAUAUAACAAUACGACUACUAAUAAAAACAAAAAUACACCAACAUAGUCUGCAGUGCUGUACCAUGAGUAGAAUAAUCUAAUCUAACAGGAUAUGUUUUACUUACAGGGAUAAUAUGUGGUGAGUGUUUUGCUCAGAUGAACUUUCAAUCUAAACAACCUAUAUUGAACUGUGAAUUACAUAUUGUGAUAAACAUUAUGUAGGAAGAAUGAAGAACAGAUUGACCUCUAUAGAAAAAAAGUGUGCAAGUAUGCUUGACAUAUGCUAAGCCUCUUAUUCAAAGACUAACUACCCUCAACUCUACAAACCUCCCUAAUUGUGGUCUAAAGGAGCAUUAUUGUGUCUGGCAGGGCAGCCUGUCACUACAUAAUAGGAAAAACCAGCACCAAGUGGAGAACAUGCUUUAGACCAGGUAUUUUUUUACAGGCAAAAUUGAAACCCAUAAAUAGAAUUCUAAGUGCCAGUAAAGAAGUAUAUAAAUAUAUAUAUGUUGUUUUUUCUUCAUCUUAAUUAAACAGUAAAACAUAUGACCUUUGAAGCUACACCAUCAAGACUGGUGGGGUCUUGCUCAUCCUUGCUAUAAUUAUCUAGGGGAAUCUUCCUUCCACCACUUUUGCACAUCUAUGUGCAUAGAAAUGGGAAGUGCAUGACUCUAUAACAUCAAUUUGGUGAAGGUACACUAUAAAAUAUUAAAUAGAUGGUAUCUGGUACCUAGUAGGUUAGCAAUGAUGAUGACUGUAUUGAUAGAUGUUGGAGAUGUGAAAUAGAU
Molecule: non-coding RNA, 4295 nt
Organism: Pelobates cultripes (western spadefoot toad)
Lineage: Eukaryota; Metazoa; Chordata; Amphibia; Anura; Pelobatidae
Source: the annotation of a GenBank genome assembly